This 251-nucleotide ribosomal RNA is filed under the name uncultured prokaryote. RNAcentral's name for it is "partial 16S rRNA". It matches the Rfam family "Bacterial small subunit ribosomal RNA", at positions 525 to 775 of the family's 1533-position model. The record is from RNAcentral.
ACAGAGGUGGCAAGCGUUGUUCGGAAUUACUGGGCGUAAAGGGCGCGUAGGCGGUCUUGUAAGUCCUGUGUGAAAUCCCCCGGCUCAACUGGGGAACUGCACAGGAAACUGCGAGGCUUGAGUUCGGGAGAGGGAAGCGGAAUUCCGGGUGUAGCGGUGAAAUGCGUAGAUAUCCGGAGGAACACCGGUGGCGAAGGCGGCUUCCUGGACCGACACUGACGCUGAGGCGCGAAAGCUAGGGGAGCAAACGG